UUCACGUUUCUUCCUCAGUCAUUGUCGAUCUCCGUCAAACUUUUUACCUUGCCCCUUGAAGCUCACCCACAUGGUGUACCUCAAACCCUGAACCUCACCCACAUUGUGUACCUCAAACCUAGCCUGCUGUCUCAAAAAUAUUAGGUUAUACGCCACUGUAAAGGAAAGGGUUUUAACUUCUAAGUGGAUCAAAUUUCUUGUGAAUUGUUUCAUCGUGCAGUCCAUGUCCCAAUUGCCCUAGCUGCGCUACCACACAAUACUCAAUACCUUUGUUAACAACGACGAUUGUUAUUCUUCCCUCCCUCGUCGCAUGCAACUUAUCUAUCAUUAUUUCUCAAAUCUAAAAGGUUGAGUUUUUGUUACGAUGAAAGUGAUGAAGAAGGGGAAAAGACACUCACACAGUGGGGAAAAGAAGAAGAAUAAGAGGUACAGAGAACAAAACCUUGAUGUUGAGAUAAUUGUUGCCACGCAGAACAGUGAAGUGCCAAUGGAAUGCAGGUUAAAGAGGCAAAAAAG
Long non-coding RNA from Glycine soja, 516 nucleotides. RefSeq lists it as uncharacterized. The transcript has 3 exons. NCBI's taxonomy places the organism in Eukaryota, Viridiplantae, Streptophyta, Magnoliopsida, Fabales, Fabaceae. The record is from RefSeq and is a predicted model, not a curated record.